UAUACCUACACACUCACAAAAAGAGGAAAACGGGAAAAAAUCAUAAAUCUUGCUCUCAAAGUCCACCUCCUCAAUUUGGGGUGAUUCAUUGUCUAUUCAUGUAUUCCACAGAUGCAGGGUAUAUCAAGUUGAUUGUGGAGCUUUAAUCCGCUGCUUCUGAGGCUGCCGGGAGAGAUUUCCCUUUCUCUUCUUUGUUCUCACAGCUCCUGGAAUUCAGCUUUGGGUUUGGCCCCGUCUCUGCGUGUAGGUUGCCGGAGUGCUUCUGUUCUUCGCUCAGACAGGGCGGGGUUAAAGGAGCAGAUGACUCAGGGACUCUGGCUCACUCAGGCCGGGGGGAGGGAGGGGUAUGGAGUGCAGAGUGAGCCUGCGGUGGCAGAGGCUGGCAUGACGUUGCACCAGGCGGAGGCGCGCCAUGUGUUCUCCCGGGGAAGUUGUCCCUGGAUCCCGGGACCCUGGCAGUGGUGGGCUGCACAGGCUCCCCGGAAGUGGGGUGUGGAUAGUGACCUGUGCUCUUACAUAGGCUUCUUGUUGGCGGCAGCAGCAGACUUAGCAUCUCAUGCCUGUCUCUGGGGUCCGUGCUUUUAGCCAUGGCUCACGCCCGUCUCUGGAGCUCCUUUAAGCAGCGCUCUUAAUCCCCUCUCCUCGCGCACCAGGAAGCAGAGGGAAGAAAAUGUCUCUUGCCUCUUUGGCAGGUCCAGACUUUUCCCCGGACUCCCUCCCGGCUAGCCGUGGUGCACUAACCCCUUCAGGCUGUGCUCACGCCGCCAACCCCAGUCCUCUCCCUGCGCUCCCACCGAAGCCCGAGCCUCAGCUCCCAGCCCCGCCCGCCCCGGCGGGUGAGCAGACAAGCCUCUCGGGCUGGUGAGUGCUGGGCGGCACCGAUCCUCUGCGCGGGAAUCUCUCCGCUUUGCCCUCUGCACCCCUGUUGCUGCGCUCUCCUCGGUGGCUCCAAAACUUCCCCGCUCCGCCACCCGCAGUCUCUGGGGCUUCCUAGUGUGUGGAAACCUUUCCUUCUUCACAGCUCCCUCCCAGGGGUGCAGGUCCCGUCCCUAUUCUUUUGUGUCUGUUUAUUCUUUUUUAUUUUGCCCUACCCAGGUACAUGGGGAGUUUCUUGCCUUUUGGGAGGUCUGAGGUCUUCUGCCAGCGUUCAGUAGGUGUUCUGUAUCAGUUGUUCCCCGUGAAGAUGUAUUUCUGGUGUAUCUGUGGGGAGGAAGGUGAUCUCCGCGUCUUACGCUUCCUCCAUCUUCCCCUCAUCCCUGUUCUGUGAGUUCUUUAAAGGACAUGCCUGCGCUAACUCCCUGAUUCCAGAGGAGGAUGAGAGACAUAUGGCGCAUAGCUGAGUCACCUCAGCCAAGGCCAGCCUAGAUCAGCCAACCCCUAACCAAGCUGAGAUCACAGCUGAGAUUUAGCAAAACUGUCCAGUGAAGCCCAGUUUGGAUCAUCACUGAGCCUUGCAGACAUGUGAGAAAUAAAUGUUUGUUGUUUUA
Molecule: long non-coding RNA, 1487 nt
Organism: Orcinus orca (killer whale)
Lineage: Eukaryota; Metazoa; Chordata; Mammalia; Artiodactyla; Delphinidae
Exons: 2
Source: RefSeq, a predicted model, not a curated record